RNAcentral lists this long non-coding RNA (996 nucleotides) under Nicotiana benthamiana. RNAcentral's name for it is "long non-coding RNA (NBEN_LNC026403)". The record is from RNAcentral. Lineage: Eukaryota; Viridiplantae; Streptophyta; Magnoliopsida; Solanales; Solanaceae.
AGUAAGUCUGGAAAAACUUCUCUUACAUGCUUUCAAAAACUUCCAAGAAACCUAAGGUAUAAAAAAUCAAUGUGCUAGAACAAUUCUCGAGAAACAGCCUCUCUGCCCUUUCGGGUAGGGGUAAGACCCGUCUACAUAUUACCCUCCCCAGAUCCCAUUUUGUGGGACUAUACUGGGUAGUUGUUGUUGUUUUGUUGUUGUGCUAGAACAAUUCAGCCAUCGAGCAGUUGUAACACAUUCGAGAGCUGAUCUUCAUCCUUUCAUCUUACUUCUGAAACAGAACACAAAGUUAGCGGCGGACCUGACUAAAAAAUGUAGACCUGAAACUAUGCAUAUUAUCUACAUCAGUACCAGUUUAAGGGCAAGAGUAGAUCACAAACCAGAUGGUAUCAACUUUCACCUCCAUUCUAACGUAUCAAAAAAAACCUAAAGCUUUCACUUUUGCAGCACAGACAAAAUGGCUAUUCCUCUAAACUACUAAAAGACUACUGCAUAUCUAUAGUAUCAUCAGAAUGCUUUAAAUAAUUUCAUGUGCUUAGACCUAAAUAAAUAUAUAAAAUUGCUCCCUCCCUAACAUGUGUCACUAUCAACCAUCAACAAAAUAUUUUCAUGUGCUUAGACAGGAAAAAAAUAAACUCAUACAUGACGGGAUUGCAAACUUAAAUAAAUAAAUAAAAGUGUUCCCUCUCUCAUUGAACACAACAACUAGAAGAGUGAGCAACAUGAUACCAAGAAUAGUACAAUGAUCCAUUGAAUGAAAUGGGCGUAGUCUAGGAUGUUAGUCAAUUGCUUACUUCUUCACUGUCAUCUAGGACUAGAACUGCACUAUGUUGCCGUUUCCAGUGUAAAGAAUAUCAGAAGAAGAGUAUUAUUUGGAAACCUUCUGCUAGCCCAAGAUCAUUAAAUAAGAUUGGAGGAUUCAACUAAAGAAGAGGAAGCUUGAAAAGAGAAAAGAGAUUUUUGAAAGGAGAAAUUUAUUAUUGAAGAAGACUUUCU